AAGUCGUAACAAGGUCUCCGUUGGUGAACCAGCGGAGGGAUCAUUACCGAGUUUACAACUCCCAAACCCAAUGUGAACGUUACCAAACUGUUGCCUCGGCGGGAUCUCUGCCCCGGGUGCGUCGCAGCCCCGGACCAAGGCGCCCGCCGGAGGACCAACCAAAACUCUUAUUGUAUACCCCCUCGCGGGUUUUUUACUAUCUGAGCCAUCUCGGCGCCCCUCGUGGGCGUUUCGAAAAUGAAUCAAAACUUUCAACAACGGAUCUCUUGGUUCUG
Molecule: unclassified non-coding RNA, 275 nt
Filed under: Trichoderma virens
Lineage: Eukaryota; Fungi; Ascomycota; Sordariomycetes; Hypocreales; Hypocreaceae
Also listed under: 1 other name
Description: partial internal transcribed spacer region
Rfam family: Eukaryotic small subunit ribosomal RNA (bases 1-46)
Source: RNAcentral